GCUCACUUCGGCAGUGCAUAUACUAACAUUGGAAUGAUACGGAGAUUAGCAUGGCCCCUGCACAAGGAUGAUGUGCAAAUUCGUGAAGUGUUCCAUAUUUAA
This is a small nuclear RNA of Myotis daubentonii (Daubenton's bat), 102 nucleotides long. Lineage: Eukaryota; Metazoa; Chordata; Mammalia; Chiroptera; Vespertilionidae. The record is from RefSeq and is a predicted model, not a curated record.